UUGAACGCUGGCGGCAUGCUUUACACAUGCAAGUCGAACGGUAACAGGUCUUCGGAUGCUGACGAGUGGCGAACGGGUGAGUAAUGCAUCGGAACGUGCCCAGUCGUGGGGGAUAACGCAGCGAAAGCUGUGCUAAUACCGCAUACGAUCUAUGGAUGAAAGCGGGGGAUCGCAAGACCUCGCGCGAUUGGAGCGGCCGAUGUCAGAUUAGCUAGUUGGUGGGGUAAAGGCCCACCAAGGCGACGAUCUGUAGCUGGUCUGAGAGGACGACCAGCCACACUGGGACUGAGACACGGCCCAGACUCCUACGGGAGGCAGCAGUGGGGAAUUUUGGACAAUGGGCGCAAGCCUGAUCCAGCAAUGCCGCGUGCAGGAAGAAGGCCUUCGGGUUGUAAAGCUCUUUCAGACGGAAAGAAAUCGGGCGGGUGAAUAGCCUGCCUGGAUGACGGUACUGUCAGAAGAAGCACCGGCUAACUACGU
RNAcentral lists this ribosomal RNA (480 nucleotides) under uncultured bacterium. Its description in RNAcentral is "bacterial SSU rRNA". It matches the Rfam family "Bacterial small subunit ribosomal RNA", at positions 30 to 506 of the family's 1533-position model. The record is from RNAcentral.